AGCUCCUCAUCCACUUCUAGGCUAUGUUUGGAUGUUUUUAAGUUAGUUCCAACCUCCAUAGCACUUCCCAAAGUGAUAGCAUCAUGGAUUUCAAAAUCUUCCUUCGAAUUUUCAAUAGUUGAGUUGGGGAGUUCACUUUGCUCUUGAAUUUGUGCCAUGAACUCCAUAAUCUGCCCAGUUUGCUUCUCCAAUUCACCCGUCUUCUUGGCUUGAUUUUGCAUCUCUUUGUUUUGAUUUUCUACUUCCUGGUUCAAAAAGGUGAGUAACUUAUUAAACAUAUCAUUAUCCAAAGAUGUAUCUGAAUUGAAUUGGGCAGAUUGUUGUGAUGGCUGUGAUGGUUCAUAUGGCCGGUGAUAAAACUCCUCCGAUGGUGGCAAAUAUUCUUCUUGUUGUGAGCCCUGCACCAAAGAGUUUAAUUCAUUAAGAAUUUGAUUGUAAUCUAUUGACGAAUCUGAGUUUGAUUAGGCAUAUUGUAUAUGAGGUUGUAGUGGCUGCAUAGGUCUUGAAUAGAACUUCUCAUAUGGCUGCCUAUAUGCUUCGUGUUGAACUUGUUGAGCUUCCCACCACAUAGAGUUUGAAUGAUCACUCCAAUCUCUUUGUGGACAUUGAUUGGCUUGAUAUCCUUGCUUAUAAGACGCACCAAAUGUAGGGACACUUUGCAUUGUGGUCCUUUCGGCAUAUUGCGACAAUUGAGAAUUAAGAUUUGCCAAUUGAGCUUGAAUGCUAGCAAAAUUCAUGUCCUACUUCUUUAGUAUCAAAGAAAGAGAACUAAAUCAAAUACCAAAAAUUAAAAUAAACAAAACAAAACCAAAUAAGAAACUAAAAACAAAAGACACGAAAAGAAACAAAGUCAGUAACUAAAACAAAAGACACAAAAAAGAAAUAAAAACAAACAACGGGGGAUUAGCAAAGUUGCUAAUCCCCGGCAACGGCGCCAAAAAUUUGAUGCGAAAUAACUUAUCACACAAAUUAAACCCUCUUGUUGUCAAUUGUAGUAAAGAAUGUAAGUAGGGAUCGUUCUAGGCCGGGGAUUAGGAGGGAUUGCUAAACACUUGAAACUGACUUAAAUAUGUGAAAACAAACUUAAAAGCAUGAAAUUAAACUUACAAGACUCAAAACAAGGCCACAAGACUCAAAACAGAUUAUAGAGACUCAAAAUUGCCUAAAAACAACUCUAAGGCAGUUUCUGCCACUAACACUAAGUUUGGAAGAAAAUUGAUUUUAUCUUCACUUAAAACACUUAAAAACACAAUCUAAAACAAGUACUAAAUAAUAUGACUUUAAUAAAAUAAGGGGAUUUUGGUUUUGGACGAAAAUAAGGAAAACAAAGCAAGAAUAAUUUAAACAGAUUCUUAGACAAAUUUAGGUGAAUUGAUGGGUAAUGCGUUAAACUAUGGAUGAUGGGCUAGCUAGAUGGUUCUUCUCCACACAUGACACACUUGCAUAUAAAACGAUUUCCAGUUGCUUUUCAAUAAAUCAUGAACCUCAACACCCCAGAUUAAUUAGGUACGCUUAAAUUAAUCCUUAGAUUUUCCUAAUUUCAUUGAAUUGGAUGAUUGCAUACAACAACCCAAAGCAUUCCCCACAAGUUCCCUACAUGAAUUGCAUCAUAGAGAUACAAGCAAGAAUCAUUAAGUUCUAUGAAAAUCAUAAGCAUUGACGAAACACUUGUAACUAUGAAUU
This 1683-nucleotide long non-coding RNA is filed under the name Malus domestica (apple). RNAcentral's name for it is "long non-coding RNA (MDOM_LNC015020)". The record is from RNAcentral. Lineage: Eukaryota; Viridiplantae; Streptophyta; Magnoliopsida; Rosales; Rosaceae.